CCUACGGGUGGCAGCAGUGAGGAAUAUUGGUCAAUGGGCGUAAGCCUGAACCAGCAAAGUCGCGUGAGGGAUGACGGUUCUAUGGAUCGUAAACCUCUUUUAUAAGGGCAUAAAGUGCGGUAUGUGUCCCGCUUUGUAUGUACCUUAUGAAUAAGAAUCGGCUAACUCCGUGCCAGCAGCCGCGGUAAUACGGAGGAUCCGCGCGUUAUCCGGAUUUAUUGGGUUUAAAGGGUGCGUCGGCGGGCUUUUAAGUCAGUGGUGAAAGUUUGUGGCUCACCCAUAGAAUUGCCGUUGAAACUGGGAGGAUUGAGUAUGUUUGAGGCAGGCGGAAUGCGUGGUGUAGCGGGGAAAUGCUUAGAUAUCACGCAGAACCCCGAUUGCGAAGGCAGCCUG
This 393-nucleotide ribosomal RNA is filed under the name uncultured bacterium. RNAcentral's name for it is "partial 16S ribosomal RNA". It matches the Rfam family "Bacterial small subunit ribosomal RNA", at positions 338 to 728 of the family's 1533-position model. The record is from RNAcentral.